This 416-nucleotide unclassified non-coding RNA is filed under the name soil metagenome. RNAcentral's name for it is "partial contains 5.8S ribosomal RNA, internal transcribed spacer 2, and large subunit ribosomal RNA". The stretch from base 1 to 120 matches the Rfam family "5.8S ribosomal RNA", at positions 35 to 154 of the family's 154-position model. The record is from RNAcentral.
GAUGAAGAACGUAGCGAAAUGCGAUAAGUAAUGUGAAUUGCAGAAUUCAGUGAAUCAUCGAAUCUUUGAACGCACCUUGCACUCCUUGGUAUUCCGAGGAGUACGCCUGUUCGAGUGUUAUGAAGCUCUCAAAACGCAAUUGGCUUAAAACCUGAUUGUUGUUUUGGAUUUGAACUUCGCCGUGUUAUAACGGCUGGUUUUAAAAGUAUUAGCUGGUACUAGAACGAAUUGGUUCUACUCAACGUGAUAAUUAUCUGAUCGUUGAGGACAUUCCUUUCACGAGGAAUGGCCAUAGUAAAUUCAAUGGACUGCUUCUAAUCUGGCUUUAAUUCUUUAUUGGAUUAACCACUUUUCAAAUCUGACCUCGAAUCAGGUGGGACUACCCGCUGAACUUAAGCAUAUCAAUAAGCGGAGGA